UGGGGAAUCUUGCGCAAUGGGCGAAAGCCUAACGCAGCAACGCCGCGUGAAGGAUGAAGGCCUUCGGGUCGUAAACUUCUGUCGGGCGGAACGAACCUCCCCGGGGUGAACAAUCCCGGGGACUGACGGUACCGCCAAAGGAAGCACCGGCCAACUCUGUGCCAGCAGCCGCGGUAAUACAGAGGGUGCGAGCGUUGUUCGGAAUUACUGGGCGUAAAGCGCGUGUAGGCGGCCAGGCAAGUCGGGUGUGAAAGCCCUGGGCUUAACCCAGGAAGUGCACUCGAAACUGCCAGGCUCGAGUACGGGAGAGGGUGGUGGAAUUCCCAGUGUAGAAGUGAAAUUCGUAGAUAUUGGGAGGAACACCGGUGGCGAAAGCGACCACCUGGACCGAUACUGACGCUGAGACGCGAAAGCGUGGGGAGCAAACAGGAUUAGAUACCCUGGUAGUCCACGCUGUAAACGAUGGGUACUAGGUGUAGCGGGUAUUGACCCCUGCUGUGCCGAAGUUAACACAUUAAGUACCCCGCCUGGGAAGUACGGCCGCAAGGCUAA
Molecule: ribosomal RNA, 552 nt
Filed under: uncultured delta proteobacterium
Lineage: Bacteria; Deltaproteobacteria
Description: bacterial SSU rRNA
Rfam family: Bacterial small subunit ribosomal RNA
Source: RNAcentral